AUGCCAGGAACUCACAAUGACAUCAACGUCCUGCAGUGCUCCCCUGUCUUUGCCAAGCUUGUUGAAGGUCAUUCUCCUCCGGUGAACUUCGAGGUCAAUGGGCGGCAGUACAACAAGGGGUACUACCUAGCUGAUGGCAUCUAUCCGAGAUGGUCGACAUUUGUGAAGACUAUCUCAAACGCUGUACCAGGAGGCAAGAAGUCCUUCUUUGUGAAGGUUCAGGAGGCUUGCAGGAAGGAUGUCGAGCAGGCAUUUGGUGUGCUCCAAUCUCGAUUUGCUGUUAUCCGGUACCCUGCUCAGACCUAG
RNAcentral lists this ribosomal RNA (306 nucleotides) under Triticum aestivum (bread wheat). RNAcentral describes it as "partial small subunit ribosomal RNA". Lineage: Eukaryota; Viridiplantae; Streptophyta; Magnoliopsida; Poales; Poaceae. The record is from RNAcentral.